AAUUAAUAAGCUUUUACAAGCAUUUGUUUUGAAAACUUAAGAAAGAAUAAAUAUUCUAUUAAUUU
This 65-nucleotide transfer RNA is filed under the name Thaumetopoea solitaria. Its description in RNAcentral is "transfer RNA-Ser". Lineage: Eukaryota; Metazoa; Arthropoda; Insecta; Lepidoptera; Notodontidae. The record is from RNAcentral.